UAGCGCUAUUACAUCUAGUUGACAAAGAAUGGCGGCUUGGCCAUAUAGAACCUUCGCUUAGCUGUUGGAAUACCCCUAUCUUCGUGAUCCGGAAGGCAUCCGGGUCCUAUCGCCUACUACAUGACUUACGCGCUGUCAACGCUAAACUUAUCACUUUUGGUGCUGUUCAGCAGGGAGCGCCGAUCCUCUCUGCGCUCCCUCGCGGCUGGCCCUUGAUGGUCCUGGACCUCAAGGAUUGUUUCUUCUCUAUUCCCCUGGCGGAACAGGACCGCGAGGCCUUUGCGUUCAC
This is a regulatory RNA element of Callipepla squamata (scaled quail), 289 nucleotides long. It matches the Rfam family "Retroviral 3'UTR stability element". NCBI's taxonomy places the organism in Eukaryota, Metazoa, Chordata, Aves, Galliformes, Odontophoridae. The record is from Rfam.